UACGGGGGGGGCAAGCGUUGUUCGGAAUUAUUGGGCGUAAAGCGCGUGUAGGCGGCUUUGCAAGUCGGGUGUGAAAGCCCUCAGCUCAACUGAGGAAGUGCGCCCGAAACUGCAGAGCUUGAGUACCGGAGAGGAUGGCGGAAUUCCCCAAGUAGAGGUGAAAUUCGUAGAUAUGGGGAGGAACACCGGUGGCGAAGGCGGCCAUCUGGACGGAUACUGACGCUGAGACGCGAAAGCGUGGGUAGCAAACAGG
This 253-nucleotide ribosomal RNA is filed under the name uncultured bacterium. Its description in RNAcentral is "partial 16S ribosomal RNA". It matches the Rfam family "Bacterial small subunit ribosomal RNA", at positions 524 to 776 of the family's 1533-position model. The record is from RNAcentral.